UGACUUUCGGCUCUGGAGGGACUUUCGGCCGCCGAAGGUGCCGCCGAACCUACCCUGUCCAGCCUUCCUUUGCAUGUUUUUGCAUGAUUGUUUUGAGGUAUUUUAGGGGGUUUUUGGGGGAUGUUUUAGAGUUAUGUUCAUGUAUGUUUGGUCCCUCAUUUGAGUCCACCUGUGUAGGUUCGGACCCGAGGAACCGAGGACCCCAGCAGUGAGUCAGUCACUUCAGAGUCAGUAGAGCUUCAGCCAGAGGUGAGUGGAAUAACUCUUAUGCUUUUAAAUAAAUAAAUCAGUUUUAGCAUGAUUCACGCAUCAUGAAUGCCAUGAGAUAAUAGGGUGUUGCAUUAGACUCACGAAUAUGUUGCAUUGCAUAUUAUGUUU
RNAcentral lists this long non-coding RNA (378 nucleotides) under Manihot esculenta (cassava). Its description in RNAcentral is "long non-coding RNA (MESC_LNC010924)". The record is from RNAcentral. Lineage: Eukaryota; Viridiplantae; Streptophyta; Magnoliopsida; Malpighiales; Euphorbiaceae.